GAUGAACGCUGGCGGCGUGCUUAACACAUGCAAGUCGAACGAUUAAAGCCCCUUCGGGGGUGUAUAGAGUGGCGAACGGGUGAGUAACACGUGGGCAACCUGCCCUCUGCUUCGGGAUAACUCACGGAAACGUGAGCUAAUACCGGAUACUCCGGUCUGACCGCAUGGUCGGAUCGGGAAAGUUCCGGCGGCAGAGGAUGGGCCCGCGGCCCAUUAGCUAGUUGGUGAGGUAAUGGCCCACCAAGGCGACGAUGGGUAGCCGAGCUGAGAGGCUGAUCGGCCACACUGGGACUGACGACACGGCCCAGACUCCUACGGGAGGCAG
Molecule: ribosomal RNA, 325 nt
Filed under: uncultured Actinomycetes bacterium
Lineage: Bacteria; Bacillati; Actinomycetota; Actinomycetes
Description: bacterial SSU rRNA
Rfam family: Bacterial small subunit ribosomal RNA
Source: RNAcentral